AGAGUUUGAUCCUGGCUCAGGAUGAACGCUAGCGGCAGGCCUAAUACAUGCAAGUCGAACGGUGCCUUCGGGCACAGUGGCAAACGGGUGCGUAACGCGUAAGCAACCUGCCCUCUACCGGGGGGAUAGCCUGGCGAAAGCCGGGGGUAAACCCGCAUGGUUCCCUUUUCACCACCUGGUUGAAGGGAUAAACAUUUAUGGGUAGGGGAGGGGCUUGCGUCUGAUUAGUUAGUUGGCGGGGUAACGGCCCACCAAGACGGUGAUCAGUAGGGGUUCUGAGAGGAUUGGCCCCCACAUGGGUACUGAGAUACGGACCCAACUCCUACGGGAGGCAGCAGUAGGGAAUAUUGGGCAAUGGAGGCAACUCUGACCCAGCCAUGCCGCGUGCAGGAUGAAGGCGCUCAGCGUCGUAAACUGCUUUUAUCUACGAAGAACGGUAGAGACGAGUCUUUGUGUGACGGUAGUAGAGGAAUAAGCACCGGCUAACUCCGUGCCAGCAGCCGCGGUAAUACGGAGGGUGCAAGCGUUGUCCGGAUUUAUUGGGUUUAAAGGGUGCGUAGGUGGCGUCUUAAGUCUGGUUUGAAAGCAGGCGGCUUAACCGUCUGAUGUGGCUGGAAACUGGGAUGCUUGAAUGCGUUGGCGGUAGCCGGAACGGGUCAUGUAGCGGUGAAAUGCAUAGAUAUGACCCAGAACACCGAUUGCGAAGGCAGGCUACUACGACGUGAUUGACACUGAGGCACGAGAGCAUGGGUAGCGAACAGGAUUAGAUACCCUAGUAGUCC
Molecule: ribosomal RNA, 782 nt
Filed under: uncultured bacterium
Lineage: Bacteria
Description: bacterial SSU rRNA
Rfam family: Bacterial small subunit ribosomal RNA
Source: RNAcentral